GACAGCAGUAGCCACGGUAAUACGAAGGGGGCUAGCGUUGUUCGGAAUUACUGGGCGUAAAGCGCACGUAGGCGGAUAUUUAAGUCAGGGGUGAAAUCCCAGAGCCCAACUCUGGAACUGCCUUUGAUACUGGGUAUCUUGAGUAUGGAAGAGGUGAGUGGAAUUCCGAGUGUAGAGGUGAAAUUCGUAGAUAUUCGGAGGAACACCAGUGGCGAAGGCGGCUCACUGGUCCAUUACUGACGCUGAGGUGCGAAAGCGUGGGGAGCAAACAGGAUUAGAUACCCCUGUAGUCCCUGUCUCUUAUAC
RNAcentral lists this ribosomal RNA (306 nucleotides) under uncultured bacterium. RNAcentral's name for it is "partial 16S ribosomal RNA". It matches the Rfam family "Bacterial small subunit ribosomal RNA", at positions 505 to 807 of the family's 1533-position model. The record is from RNAcentral.